This 495-nucleotide ribosomal RNA is filed under the name uncultured bacterium. RNAcentral's name for it is "partial 16S ribosomal RNA". It matches the Rfam family "Bacterial small subunit ribosomal RNA", at positions 30 to 507 of the family's 1533-position model. The record is from RNAcentral.
CGAACGCUGGCGGCGUGCCUAAUACAUGCAAGUAGAACGCUGAAGCUUGGUGCUUGCACCGAGCGGAUGAGUUGCGAACGGGUGAGUAACGCGUAGGUAACCUGCCUGGUAGCGGGGGAUAACUAUUGGAAACGAUAGCUAAUACCGCAUAAGAGUAGAUGUUGCAUGACAUUUGCUUAAAAGGUGCAAUUGCAUCACUACCAGAUGGACCUGCGUUGUAUUAGCUAGUUGGUGAGGUAACGGCUCACCAAGGCAACGAUACAUAGCCGACCUGAGAGGGUGAUCGGCCACACUGGGACUGAGACACGGCCCAGACUCCUACGGGAGGCAGCAGUAGGGAAUCUUCGGCAAUGGACGGAAGUCUGACCGAGCAACGCCGCGUGAGUGAAGAAGGUUUUCGGAUCGUAAAGCUCUGUUGUAAGAGAAGAACGAGUGUGAGAGUGGAAAGUUCACACUGUGACGGUAUCUUACCAGAAAGGGACGGCUAACUACGUG